Molecule: ribosomal RNA, 468 nt
Filed under: uncultured bacterium
Lineage: Bacteria
Description: partial 16S ribosomal RNA
Rfam family: Bacterial small subunit ribosomal RNA
Source: RNAcentral
GACGAACGCUGGCGGCGUGCUUAACACAUGCAAGUCGAACGGAAAGGCCCUGCUUUUGUGGGGUGCUCGAGUGGCGAACGGGGGAGUAACACGUGAGUAACCUGCCCUUGACUUUGGGAUAACUUCAGGAAACUGGGGCUAAUACCGGAUAGGAGCUCCUGCUGCAUGGUGGGGGUUGGAAAGUUUCGGCGGUUGGGGAUGGACUCGCGGCUUAUCAGCUUGUUGGUGGGGCAGUGGCUUACCAAGGCUUUGACGGGUAGCCGGCCUGUGAGGGUGACCGGCCACCUUGGGCCUGAGGUACGGCCCAGACUCCUACGGGAGGCAGCAGUGGGGAAUAUUGCACAAUGGGCGGAAGCCUGAUGCAGCAACGCCGCGUGCGGGAUGACGGCCUUCGGGUUGUAAACCGCUUUCGCCUGUGACGAAGCGUGAGUGACGGUAAUGGGUAAAGAAGCACCGGCUAACUACGUG